AUGGACAUCUACUUGUGUAUUUAUGUGAUUUUUCAUAGCCAUGUGAGGCACAGUGAAACAGAUGCUCAUGGCAACUUCUGCUCCAGAAGCUUCCCAGAUAUGACUGACCUCAGACACAGGAAUUCAGAAAUCUCACUGCCUGCCCCUUUGCCAUUAAGAAAACAGAUACUGGAUCCCCAAACCCAUGAUGAAGAAAGAGGCUGGAAGAACUCUCAGAAGAGUUUUCAAGACUAUGAGUGCCCUUGCCAAAACCCGGUGGAAAAAUCCCUAGAGAAACAGAGGCCAUAGAAGUUUAAAGGAUCCUACAUUUUGAAAAGUUCAAUGAAUGGAGAAUUCCACUUGUGGCAUGCUAGACUAACAGUGCAAAAGUUGCCUCACCCCUGCAAGCAAUUGGAAAAUAGGGCAAAAAUGAAACUACUGUUUUCAAACAACAGGCUCCCAGGACUGCCAUAAUCAAGAAAGAAGAGAAAGUAAUGAAGUCAGUUCUGUGAUGGUCCUGGCUUUCUAUGUGAAGGAACUUUUCAUAUUGUAGUCAAAUUGGGGGAACUCAAACUUAGCACAGUAGUCUCUGAGUUGAAGAAAUAGAGAUCAUAGGAAAGGGAGGCUGAUGGAGCUAGUAUUUAAAAGAAAGAGUACUGGAAAUAAAAAGACUACGUAGAAAAAGAGCUACAGUAACUGGUAUGGUUUGGCUCUGUAUCCCUACCUAAAUCUCAUGUUGAACUGUAAUUCCCAAUUACAGUUGGGAAUUGAUGGGAACCUGGUGGGAGGUGAUUGGAUCAUGGGGGCAGAUUUCCCCCUUGCUGUUCUCGUGAUAGUGAGUGAGUUCUCACAAGUUGUGUUUGUUUAAAAGUGCGUAGCAAUUCCCCCUUAGCUCUAUCUCUCCUGUCACCAUGUGAAGACAUGAUUGCUUCCCAUUCAGCCUUCUGCCAUGAUUGUAAGUUUCCUGAGGCCUCCCCAGCCAUGCUUCCUGUACAGCCUGCAGAACUGUGAGUCAAUUAAACCUCUUUUCUGUAUAAAUUACUCAGUCUCAGGUAGUUCUUUAUAGCAGUGUGAGAAUGGACUAAUACAGUUAUCUUCCUAAAGAUUCCUUUGAAUAUUUUGCUAAAGGGUAAACAUUAGAGAUACAUGAGGUAAGGCAAAAAAGUACCUGGGAGUUGUAAAUGGAACAUUUCUCAGAGUUCUUACAGGGCUGGGAUAUGUUUAAAUUUUUACCAGCCAGAAUUGAGAGAACUCACUGAACAGCAUAUACUAAGUAAAGACCCAAAAAGCCAUGUCUUCUGAAUAGGGCUAAAUAAGCCCUCAUGUAAAGACUAUUCUGGACCCUCCCUAACAAUGCUUAGAAACAAACCUCAACAGGAUCACUUUGAUGUUAAAGUGUAUUAACACUACCCCAAACAAAAUUCAACAUUCUUUAAGGGAAUAUAACUGAAUCUAGACACUCAGCAAUGUAAUUCACAAUGAUAAACAUCCAAUUAAUAAUUAUAGUGAAUAAUUACUAGACACAAACGAAGCAAAAAGGUGACUCAUAAUCAAGAGAAAAAUUAGUCAAUAGAAACAGAAGGUAGGAAUGUCAGAUAUGAUACAAUUAUUAAAUAAGAAGUUUAAAAUGGUUAUUGGAAAAAUACCCAAUGAUUUAGAGAAAACUCAAAAUAAUGAGGGAAAAUGGGAAAUAGAAAGUAGAAAUAAGUGGAUCCUGUAAGGCUGAAAAUGGAACAUCAGAAAGUAAAAAUUAAUGGAUGAACUACAUAGCACAUUAGACACUACAGAAAAAAAAAUUACUGGUGAGUUUAAGGUAUAGAAAUAAAAAACAUGCAAUUAAAAAAUCUAAAAAAAUAGCUUCAGUGAUCAAUGUGACAGCAUUAAAUCAUCUAAAAGUUGUGUUGUUGCAGUAUUUCCAGCAGGAGAGAGCAAAAAUACAUAUGAAGAAAUAUCAAAAAUUUUCAAAUUCAAUGAAAAUUAUAAACCACAGAUCAAAGCAGCUCAAUGGAGCCCAAGCAGGAUAAACACAAAGAAAACAGACCAAAGUAUAUAAUAAUGAAACCCGCUGAAAACCAGCAAUAAAGAGAAAGAUUCAAAAGCAGCCAGAGACAAACAGCACAGGACACGGGGUGAAAGACAAUGUCUUCAUAAGAAUCCUUGAAUGAAACAGUGUGACAUUUGAGAAGAAACACUGUGAGCCAGAAGACAGUGGAACAAUCUUCAAAGUGGUAGGGAACAAAUUAGCCUAGAACUCUAUAGCCAGCAAAACUGUCUUUCAAAGUGAAAAAAAGACAUAUUUAAACAAACAAAAAUUAUGAGAAUUUGUCACUAGGAGACCUGUGCUACAGGAAAAUAAAUUAUUCAGAUGGAAGAAAUGACAUCAGAUGAAAACUUGGAUUUACACAAAAGAAUAAAGAGUGAAGAGUUGCUAAAAAUGGUU
This is a long non-coding RNA of Macaca mulatta (Rhesus monkey), 2419 nucleotides long. The record is from Ensembl. NCBI's taxonomy places the organism in Eukaryota, Metazoa, Chordata, Mammalia, Primates, Cercopithecidae.